RNAcentral lists this ribosomal RNA (253 nucleotides) under uncultured bacterium. RNAcentral describes it as "partial 16S ribosomal RNA". It matches the Rfam family "Bacterial small subunit ribosomal RNA", at positions 524 to 776 of the family's 1533-position model. The record is from RNAcentral.
UACAGAGGUCUCAAGCGUUGUUCGGAUUCAUUGGGCGUAAAGGGUGCGUAGGUGGCGUCGUAAGUCGGGUGUGAAAUUUCGGAGCUUAACUCCGAAACUGCAUUCGAUACUGCGGUGCUUGAGGACUGGAGAGGAGACUGGAAUUUACGGUGUAGCAGUGAAAUGCGUAGAGAUCGUAAGGAAGACCAGUGGCGAAGGCGGGUCUCUGGACAGUACCUGACACUGAGGCACGAAGGCCAGGGGAGCAAACGGG